AUCCAGAUGACGAGUUCCAGAUAAGACGAAAUACAUGUCCUGGAU
Molecule: non-coding RNA, 45 nt
Organism: Schistosoma margrebowiei
Lineage: Eukaryota; Metazoa; Platyhelminthes; Trematoda; Strigeidida; Schistosomatidae
Source: Rfam